This 498-nucleotide long non-coding RNA is filed under the name Homo sapiens (human). RNAcentral describes it as "non-protein coding lnc-GMDS-4:1". The record is from RNAcentral. Lineage: Eukaryota; Metazoa; Chordata; Mammalia; Primates; Hominidae.
UGUGACCUCACUGGCACCAGUGUCGGACAAUCUCGAAAGGGGGGACCGUUCCUCACCCCAGGGCGCCCGGGGCGUGAUCCCCACGCGGCGUCAUUAGUCCAGGGAGCGGGCGCCUCGGCCCCGGGAAGGUGCACUUCCAGCCCGCUGCCCUGCCACGCCGAGUUUCCUCCUUUUUCCUGCCUUUGUUGCACAAAAAGCGACGGAGCCGCUAGUAGCGGGGAAAUCAUUCACCUUUUGCAGCUAUCAGAGAAACCGAGAAUGUAUGGAGCAGGGCGUGUCUAUCCACAACACCCUCAAGGCUGAAUACAGUUGGGGAGACCAGACGCUGCCAGACGUCACAUGCAUUUUUUUAAAGUUUCCCAGAAGUGCUUGGAUAUUUCUGCCCCUUAAUUCCCAUUCCUUGGGGAGUACAUUGAUGGGUUAAUAAAAAAUGCCUGCAGGUGGAGCUUGACCAAACACUUGUAGAUGCUGAACACUGGAAAAAUCCUGCAAGGAUUG